GGACUACCCGGGUAUCUAAUCCCGUUUGCUCCCCUGGCUUUCGCACAAUAGCGUCAGUUACCGACCAGCAAGUCGCCUUCGCCACCGAUGUUCUUCCCAAUAUCUACGCAUUUCACCGCUACACUGGGAAUUCCACUUGCCUCUCCGGUACUCCAGCACCGCAGUUUCAACUGCAAAACACGGUUAAGCCGCAUCUUUUAACAGCCGACUUACGGCACAGCCUGCGUGCCCUUUACGCCCAGUAAUUCCGGACAACGCUCGCCCCCUACGUAUUACCGCGGCUGCUGGCAC
RNAcentral lists this ribosomal RNA (291 nucleotides) under uncultured bacterium. Its description in RNAcentral is "partial 16S ribosomal RNA". The record is from RNAcentral.